UCUGAGCGCCAUUGCUACACCUUCCUUUGCCUCCAAAUGGAAAACAUGCUCAGGCACUAUUGUAAAAAGUUUCUCGGACAAUUCAAGUGCAGCAACUGCUGCCACCACAGUACCCGGACACGCUGCCGUAUCUGACUACCUAAGCAGUACGAUGCAGAUGCUCUGUUUCAUAACAACAAUAGAACACGGUUGAAGCCAGCAAUCCGUGCCAUUUUUCUGCAGCGACUCAUGAUCCUGUAACUGAGGAUAUCAUCGGCAGGAAAAAAAAAUGCCCCAACCAAAUAGCACUUUUUUUUCUUCUUUCUGAUAAGAACCAAACAGAGCAUCUUGGGCUUCUCCUCCCCGGCCCGACGCGAUCCCACACACCGCAGCGUUGCCACUCCCUUGUCCUGGUGAUGGCCCCCGCCGCCGAGCCGCUGACCCUACGGUCGAAGAGCGCGAAGUCGCCGGCGUACCUACCUCUCGGCUCCCUCCGGUGAAGCUCGAUUUCCUUCCGAACUCAGGUGUUCGCCCCCCUCGAAUCUCUCCGGGAGUGUUUAUGUUCCUCUUGCGUGGUUCGAAGCAAACACUCUGUGGAAAUGAGAACCCAUCCCCCAAAUCAACCGAAAGGAAAUCUCAUUGUGAAGCACGUGUUUCCCCCGAUACAUAUUGUAUUUGUAGAGCUGGAACUCUGAAUUUGGAGACGACGAAAUGGUAGGAUAGUAAAGGGGUGGAGUUUGAGUAAGAGGGCGUGAUAAUACAGAGUUCAUAUGAUCAACAAAGGAAAAGCUAAUUUGAUUUUAGAAGGAGCACUGAUGAGCUGAAACUUGUUCCACAUCUCCAGCAUGUCCGCGCGCUCAUGCUGUCUGGGUGCUCCUUGGCUGUAACACGAGCGUGCUCGACUUGCACCACCCCUGGGCGAUCUUCCUCGCGCCGCACCUGCCAGACAGCGUCCGCUUGAUGUUGUAAUCCUUCUCCUCUGGCACAUAUGGAAAGCGCGCAAUGCAAAAAUCUUGGAGAUAUAUCUUGUGCAAUCAAGCUUAUGGUGCAAUCACCGUGCAAUCCAACUAAAAAAAGUCUCAAAAAAUUCUGAAAAAAAAUCUUGAAUGUGCAUCUCAACCUACUUCAUCUAUAUAUACAAUUUCAGGGUCAAAUUCGUCCUCCUCUAGAAGUUACAAAAAAGACAAAUUUUCUGACAAAAGUAAUAGUUCAAAUGCAACCUAAAUUUGUCUUUUUUUUAACUUCCAGAGGAGGACGAAUUUGACCCUGAAAUUGUAUAUAUAGAUGAAGUAGGUUGAGAUGCACAUUCAAG
Molecule: long non-coding RNA, 1291 nt
Organism: Panicum virgatum (switchgrass)
Lineage: Eukaryota; Viridiplantae; Streptophyta; Magnoliopsida; Poales; Poaceae
Exons: 3
Source: RefSeq, a predicted model, not a curated record